Molecule: ribosomal RNA, 254 nt
Filed under: uncultured bacterium
Lineage: Bacteria
Description: partial 16S ribosomal RNA
Rfam family: Bacterial small subunit ribosomal RNA
Source: RNAcentral
UACGGGGGGGGCAAGCGUUGUUCGGAAUUACUGGGCGUAAAGGGCUCGUAGGCGGCCAACUAAGUCAGACGUGAAAUCCCUCGGCUUAACCGGGGAACUGCGUCUGAUACUGGAUGGCUUGAGUUUGGGAGAGGGAUGCGGAAUUCCAGGUGUAGCGGUGAAAUGCGUAGAUAUCUGGAGGAACACCGGUGGCGAAGGCGGCAGCCUGGACCAACGCUGACGCUGAGGGAGCGAAAGCCAGGGGAGCAAACGGG